RNAcentral lists this ribosomal RNA (769 nucleotides) under uncultured beta proteobacterium. Its description in RNAcentral is "bacterial SSU rRNA". It matches the Rfam family "Bacterial small subunit ribosomal RNA", at positions 344 to 1096 of the family's 1533-position model. Lineage: Bacteria; Pseudomonadati; Pseudomonadota; Betaproteobacteria. The record is from RNAcentral.
GGAGGCAGCAGUGGGGAAUUUUGGACAAUGGGCGCAAGCCUGAUCCAGCCAUUCCGCGUGAGUGAAGAAGGCCUUCGGGUUGUAAAGCUCUUUCGCAAGGGAAGAAACGAUGCAGUCUAAUAAGCUGCGUUAAUGACGGUACCUUGAUAAGAAGCACCGGCUAACUACGUGCCAGCAGCCGCGGUAAUACGUAGGGUGCGAGCGUUAAUCGGAAUUACUGCGGCGUARAGCGUGCGCAGGCGGUUCUGCAAGUCAGAUGUGAAAUCCCSGGGCUCAACCUGGGAACUGCGUUUGAAACUACAGGGCUAGAGUAUAGGAGAGGGGGGUAGAAUUCCACGUGUAGCAGUGAAAUGCGUAGAGAUGUGGAGGAAUACCAAUGGCGAAGGCAGCCCCCUGGCCUAAUACUGACGCUCAUGCACSAAAGCGUGGGGAGCGACACAGGAUUAGAUACCCUGGUARUCCACKCCCUAAAYGAUGUCUACUAGUUGUUGGUGGAGUAAAAUCCCCCAUUARUCACGCARMUAACGCGUGAAGUAUACCUGSGCUUGGGGAGUACUGUCGCAAGAUAAAACUCAAAGGAAUUGACGGGGGCCCGCACAAUUGUGGAUUAUGUGGAUUUAUUCGAUGCACGCGGGGAAGCUUACCUGGGGUUGACAUGUACGGAACUUCUCCACAGAUUGAUUGGUGCUGCAAAGAAAUCCGUGACACAGGUGCUGCAUGCCUGUUGUCAACUCCUGCCGUGAGAUGAUGGGUUAAGUACCGCAACGAG